UGAUUUAUAAUAAAAGGCCCGCAGUAACCUGACUGUGCUAAGGUAGCAUAAUCAUUUGUUUAAUAAAUUUAAACUAGAAUGAAAGGAAAAAAGUAUAUUAACUGUUAAUUACAAAUCUUUUGAAAUCCUUUUUAAAGUGCAAAAACUUUAAUUAGUGACAUAAACGAGAAGACCCUAAAAAUUUUAAUCUAUUUUAUUGGGACAAUACUAUUACAUAAUUAUUAUAUGUUAAACAUUAUCUAUGCUAAUUAACUAAAUAAAAUUACUUUAGGGAUAACAGCAUAAUAACUAUAAAGAGACCUAAUCUAAAUAGUUGCUUGUGACCUCGAUGUUGAAUCAUUUUAACAAAACUUGCAGAAGAGUUUUAUCUAUCGUCUGUUCGACGAUUCUACAUUACGUGA
Molecule: ribosomal RNA, 401 nt
Filed under: Trichuris suis (pig whipworm)
Lineage: Eukaryota; Metazoa; Nematoda; Enoplea; Trichinellida; Trichuridae
Description: partial large subunit ribosomal RNA
Rfam family: Bacterial large subunit ribosomal RNA
Source: RNAcentral